UACGUAGGGUGCAAGCGUUAAUCGGAAUUACUGGGCGUAAAGCGUGCGCAGGCGGUUGUGCAAGACCGAUGUGAAAUCCCCGGGCUUAACCUGGGAAUGGCAUUGGUGACUGCACGGCUAGAGUGUGUCAGAGGGGGGUAGAAUUCCACGUGUAGCAGUGAAAUGCGUAGAGAUGUGGAGGAAUACCGAUGGCGAAGGCAGUCCCCUGGGAUAACACUGACGCUCAUGCACGAAAGCGUGGGGAGCAAACAGG
Molecule: ribosomal RNA, 253 nt
Filed under: uncultured bacterium
Lineage: Bacteria
Description: partial 16S ribosomal RNA
Rfam family: Bacterial small subunit ribosomal RNA
Source: RNAcentral